Molecule: ribosomal RNA, 326 nt
Filed under: uncultured eukaryote
Lineage: Eukaryota
Description: partial 18S ribosomal RNA
Rfam family: Eukaryotic small subunit ribosomal RNA
Source: RNAcentral
CCCUUAGACGUUCUGGGCCGCACGCGCGCUACACUGAAUGGAUCAACGUGUUUUCCCUUCCCGAGAGGGACGGGUAACCCGCUGAACCCCAUUCGUGGUAGGGAUCGGAGCUUGCAAUUGUUCUCCGUGAACCAGGAAUUCCCAGUAAGCGCAAGUCAUAAGCUUGCGUUGAUUACGUCCCUGCCCUUUGUACACACCGCCCGUCGCUCCUACCGAUUGAAUGGUCCGGUGAAGCGUUCGGACCGUGGCCUUUGGACGGUUCGCCGUCUGUUGGCUGCGGGAAGUUCGUUAAACCUUAUCAUUUAGAGGAAGGAGAAGUCGUAACA